AGUGAACGCUGGCGGUAGGCCUAACACAUGCAAGUCGAACGGCAGCACAGUAAGAGCUUGCUCUUACGGGAGGCGAGUGGCGGACGGGUGAGGAAUACAUCGGAAUCUACUUUUUCGUGGGGGAUAACGUAGGGAAACUUACGCUAAUACCGCAUACGACCUACGGGUGAAAGCAGGGGAUCUUCGGACCUUGCGCGAUUGAAUGAGCCGAUGUCGGAUUAGCUAGUUGGCGGGGUAAAGGCCCACCAAGGCGACGAUCCGUAGCUGGUCUGAGAGGAAGAUCAGCCACACUGGAACUGAGGCACGGUCCAGACUCCUACGGGAGGCAGCAGUGGGGAAUAUUGGCCAAUGGGCGCAAGCCUGAUCCAGCCAUACCGCGUGAGUGAAGAAGGCCUUCGGGUUGUAAAACCCUUUUGUUGGGAAAGAAAAGCAGCAGGUUAAUACCCCACUGUUCUGACGGUACCCAAAGAAUAAGCACCGGCUAACUUCGUG
Molecule: ribosomal RNA, 492 nt
Filed under: uncultured bacterium
Lineage: Bacteria
Description: partial 16S ribosomal RNA
Rfam family: Bacterial small subunit ribosomal RNA
Source: RNAcentral